UUGCAUCAAUUGCACAACAAGACCAAAUAAAAAAGGAGGAUGGAAACCCAGCUGACACACAUUUGAGGAAUCACUCUCCAGAAGGAUCAUUCAUCAGAGAUUGGUGCAGUGAGGCGAGGCAUCGUUAAGACAUGAAGACUGUGAUUGUUGCUGUUUUGGUUUUGCUGGUCAUCAGCCAGAAUGAAGUUUUGAGUUAAUGAUACACUGGAUUUGCAUCAAUUGCACAACAACAACAAAUAAAAAAGGAGGAUGGAAACCCAGCUGACACACAUUUCAGGAAUCACUCUCCAGAAGGAUCAUUCAUCAGAGAUUGGUGCAG
Molecule: long non-coding RNA, 319 nt
Organism: Oreochromis aureus
Lineage: Eukaryota; Metazoa; Chordata; Actinopteri; Cichliformes; Cichlidae
Exons: 4
Source: RefSeq, a predicted model, not a curated record